Pezoporus occidentalis (night parrot) is the source of this 164-nucleotide long non-coding RNA. RefSeq lists it as uncharacterized. The record is from RefSeq and is a predicted model, not a curated record. The transcript is spliced from 2 exons. NCBI's taxonomy places the organism in Eukaryota, Metazoa, Chordata, Aves, Psittaciformes, Psittacidae.
AGCUCCAUUCCUGGUGAUAUUCAAGGCCGGGUUGGACAGAGCCUUGGGUGACAUGGUUUAGUUGGGAGGUGUUCCUGCCCAUGGCAGGGGGGUUGGAACUAGAUGAUCUUAAGGUCCUUUCCAACUCUGACUAUUCUAUGAUUCUAUGAUUAAGCAUGAUUCAC